RNAcentral lists this ribosomal RNA (490 nucleotides) under uncultured bacterium. RNAcentral describes it as "partial 16S ribosomal RNA". It matches the Rfam family "Bacterial small subunit ribosomal RNA", at positions 30 to 507 of the family's 1533-position model. The record is from RNAcentral.
AUUGAACGCUGGCGGCAUGCUUUACACAUGCAAGUCGGACGGCAGCACAGAGAAGCUUGCUUCUUGGGUGGCGAGUGGCGAACGGGUGAGUAAUAUAUCGGAACGUACCGAGUAAUGGGGGAUAACUAAUCGAAAGAUUAGCUAAUACCGCAUAUUCUCUGAGGAGGAAAGCAGGGGACCUUCGGGCCUUGCGUUAUUCGAGUGGCCGAUAUCUGAUUAGCUAGUUGGUGGGGUAAAGGCCUACCAAGGCGACGAUCAGUAGCGGGUCUGAGAGGAUGAUCCGCCACACUGGGACUGAGACACGGCCCAGACUCCUACGGGAGGCAGCAGUGGGGAAUUUUGGACAAUGGGCGCAAGCCUGAUCCAGCCAUGCCGCGUGUCUGAAGAAGGCCUUCGGGUUGUAAAGGACUUUUGUCAGGGAAGAAAAGGCUGUUGCUAAUACCGACAGCUGAUGACGGUACCUGAAGAAUAAGCACCGGCUAACUACGUG